This 430-nucleotide ribosomal RNA is filed under the name uncultured bacterium. RNAcentral's name for it is "bacterial SSU rRNA". It matches the Rfam family "Bacterial small subunit ribosomal RNA", at positions 355 to 776 of the family's 1533-position model. The record is from RNAcentral.
UGGGGAAUUGUUCGCAAUGGGCGCAAGCCUGACGACGCAACGCCGCGUGGAGGAUGAAGGUCUUCGGAUUGUAAACUCCUGUUGAUUGGGACGAAUGGCCGCCGGGCUAACAUCCUGGUGGUUUGACGGUACCGAUUGAGGAAGCCCCGGCUAACUCUGUGCCAGCAGCCGCGGUAAUACAGAGGGGGCAAGCGUUGUUCGGAAUUACUGGGCGUAAAGGGCGCGUAGGCGGCCGCCUAAGUCAGACGUGAAAUCCCUCGGCUCAACCGGGGAACUGCGUCUGAUACUGGGUGGCUUGAAUCCGGGAGAGGGAUGUGGAAUUCCAGGUGUAGCGGUGAAAUGCGUAGAUAUCUGGAGGAACACCGGUGGCGAAGGCGGCAUCCUGGACCGGUAUUGACGCUGAGGCGCGAAAGCCAGGGGAGCAAACGGG